GACGAACGCUGGCGGCGGGCUUAACACAUGCAAGUCGAACGGAAAGGCCCUGCUUUUGUGGGGUUCUCGAUUGGCGAACGGGGGAGUAACACGUGAGUAACCUGCCCUUGACUUUGGGGUAACUUCAGGAAACUGGGGCUAAUACCGGAUAGGAGCUCCUGCUGCAUGGUGGGGGUUGGAAAUUUUCGGCUGUUGGGGAUGGACUCGCGGCUUAUCAGCUUGUUGGUUGGGUAGUGGCUUACCAAGGCUUUGACGGGUAGCCGGCCUGAGAGGGUGACCGGCCACAUUGGGCCUGAGAUACGGCCCAGACUCCUACGGGAGGCAGCAGUGGGGAAUAUUGCACAAUGGGCGGACGUCUGAUGAAGAAACGCCGCGUGCGGGAUGACGGCCUUCGGGUUGUAAACCGCUUUAGCCUGUGACGAAGCGUGAGUGACGGUAAUGGGUAAAGAAGCACCGGCUAACUACGUG
Molecule: ribosomal RNA, 468 nt
Filed under: uncultured bacterium
Lineage: Bacteria
Description: partial 16S ribosomal RNA
Rfam family: Bacterial small subunit ribosomal RNA
Source: RNAcentral